RNAcentral lists this ribosomal RNA (253 nucleotides) under uncultured bacterium. Its description in RNAcentral is "partial 16S ribosomal RNA". It matches the Rfam family "Bacterial small subunit ribosomal RNA", at positions 524 to 776 of the family's 1533-position model. The record is from RNAcentral.
UACGAAGGGGGCUAGCGUUGCUCGGAAUCACUGGGCGUAAAGCGCACGUAGGCGGCUUUCUAAGUCAGGGGUGAAAUCCUGGAGCUCAACUCCAGAACUGCCUUUAAAACUGCAUCGCUUGAAUCCGGGAGAGGUGAGUGGAAUUCCGAGUGUAGAGGUGAAAUUCGUAGAUAUUCGGAAGAACACCAGUGGCGAAGGCGGCUCACUGGACCGGCAUUGACGCUGAGGUGCGAAAGCGUGGGGAGCAAACAGG